UACGUAGGGUCCGAGCGUUGUCCGGAAUUAUUGGGCGUAAAGAGCUCGUAGGCGGUUUGUCGCGUCUGCUGUGAAAUCCCGAGGCUCAACCUCGGGCCUGCAGUGGGUACGGGCAGACUUGAGUGGUGUAGGGGAGACUGGAAUUCCUGGUGUAGCGGUGGAAUGCGCAGAUAUCAGGAGGAACACCAAUGGCGAAGGCAGCACUCUGGGACGUGACUGACGCUGAGACGCGAAAGCGUGGGGAGCAAACAGG
Molecule: ribosomal RNA, 253 nt
Filed under: uncultured bacterium
Lineage: Bacteria
Description: partial 16S ribosomal RNA
Rfam family: Bacterial small subunit ribosomal RNA
Source: RNAcentral